UACAGAGGGGGCAAGCGUUGUUCGGAAUUACUGGGCGUAAAGGGCGCGUAGGCGGCCUUCUAAGUCGAACGUGAAAUCCCCGGGCUCAACCCGGGAACUGCGUCCGAUACUGGCAGGCUUGAAUCCGGGAGAGGGAUGCGGAAUUCCAGGUGUAGCGGUGAAAUGCGCAGAUAUCAGGAGGAACACCGGUGGCGAAGGCGGGUCUCUGGGCCGAUACUGACGCUGAGGAGCGAAAGCGUGGGGAGCGAACAGG
RNAcentral lists this ribosomal RNA (253 nucleotides) under uncultured bacterium. Its description in RNAcentral is "partial 16S ribosomal RNA". It matches the Rfam family "Bacterial small subunit ribosomal RNA", at positions 524 to 776 of the family's 1533-position model. The record is from RNAcentral.